AGUGAACGCUGGCGGUAGGCCUAACACAUGCAAGUCGAACGGCAGCACAGUAAGAGCUUGCUCUUACGGGUGGCGAGUGGCGGACGGGUGAGGAAUACAUCGGAAUCUACUUUUUCGUGGGGGAUAACGUAGGGAAACUUACGCUAAUACCGCAUACGACCUACGGGUGAAAGCAGGGGAUCUUCGGACCUUGCGCGAUUGAAUGAGCCGAUGUCGGAUUAGCUAGUUGGCGGGGUAAAGGCCCACCAAGGCGACGAUCCGUAGCUGGUCUGAGAGGAUGAUCGGCCACACUGGAAGGGGGACACGGUCCAGACUCCUACGGGAGGCAGCAGUGGGGAAUAUUGGACAAUGGGCGCAAGCCUGAUCCAGCCAUACCGCGUGGGUGAAGAAGGCCUUCGGGUUGUAAAGCCCUUUUGUUGGGAAAGAAAAGCAGCAGGUUAAUACCCCGCUGCUCUGACGGUACCCAAAGAAUAAGCACCGGCUAACUUCGUG
This 492-nucleotide ribosomal RNA is filed under the name uncultured bacterium. RNAcentral describes it as "partial 16S ribosomal RNA". It matches the Rfam family "Bacterial small subunit ribosomal RNA", at positions 29 to 507 of the family's 1533-position model. The record is from RNAcentral.